This 83-nucleotide transfer RNA is filed under the name Chryseotalea sanaruensis. RNAcentral describes it as "tRNA-Leu". It matches the Rfam family "tRNA". Rfam says of the family: Transfer RNA (tRNA) molecules are approximately 80 nucleotides in length. Their secondary structure includes four short double-helical elements and three loops (D, anti-codon, and T loops). Further hydrogen bonds mediate the characteristic L-shaped molecular structure. tRNAs have two regions of fundamental functional importance: the anti-codon, which is responsible for specific mRNA codon recognition, and the 3' end, to which the tRNAs corresponding amino acid is attached (by aminoacyl-tRNA synthetases). tRNAs cope with the degeneracy of the genetic code in two manners: having more than one tRNA (with a specific anti-codon) for a particular amino acid; and 'wobble' base-pairing, i.e. permitting non-standard base-pairing at the 3rd anti-codon position. Lineage: Bacteria; Pseudomonadati; Bacteroidota; Cytophagia; Cytophagales; Chryseotaleaceae. The record is from RNAcentral.
GCCUUAGUGGCGGAACUGGUAGACGCGCACGACUCAAAAUCGUGUACCGUAAGGUGUGCCGGUUCGAUUCCGGCCUGAGGUAC